This 591-nucleotide ribosomal RNA is filed under the name uncultured fungus. RNAcentral's name for it is "eukaryotic LSU rRNA". It matches the Rfam family "Eukaryotic large subunit ribosomal RNA", at positions 40 to 660 of the family's 3401-position model. Lineage: Eukaryota; Fungi. The record is from RNAcentral.
AUAUCAAUAAGCGGAGGAAAAGAAACUAACAAGGAUUCCCCUAGUAACGGCGAGUGAAGCGGGAAUAGCUCAAAUUUGAAAUCUUACAGGUUCCCUGUACGAAUUGUAGUUUAGAGAAACGUUUUCGGGUGUUGCUUGAGCAAUAAGUCCUUUGGAAUGAGGCAUCAUAGAGGGUGAGAAUCCCGUCCUGGGCUCAAGCUAUCGCUUAUGUGAUACGUUUUCCACGAGUCGGUUUGUUUGGGAAUGCAGACCAAAAUGGGUGGUAAAUACCAUCUAAAGCUAAAUAUUGGCGAGAGACCGAUAGCGAACAAGUACCGUGAGGGAAAGAUGAAAAGAACUUUGAAAAGAGAGUUAAAUAGUACGUGAAAUUGUCAAAAGGGAAACGCUUGAAACCAGUAUUGCUUGCAGGUAAUCAGCCACACGUUCAGUGUGGUGCACUUGCCUGCCGGCAGGUCAACAUCAGUUUGAUUUGGGGUAAAAAGCCAGUGGAAGGUAGCCCAGAGCUUGCUUUGGGUGUUAUAGCCUCUGGUCCUGCCCUGGAUUGGACUGAGGACUGCAGCGUUUUUUGGGUACCCGGUCGCCUCUUGAAAC